Long non-coding RNA from Zea mays, 542 nucleotides. RefSeq lists it as uncharacterized. The transcript has 3 exons. The record is from RefSeq and is a predicted model, not a curated record. Lineage: Eukaryota; Viridiplantae; Streptophyta; Magnoliopsida; Poales; Poaceae.
GUUGGAAGAGAAGCCAUAUUAUAUGCUUUGUUGAGAUCGGAUCAACCUGUGGCCAAAGGAAUAAUAGUUUCAACUAAUCCGAGUACCAUAGUUGCAGAUCUGCCCAUUGGAAGGCAAUUUUGUGAAGUUGUUGUGACUUGUGUCCUGAAAAGAGAUGCAGUGUUGGCUCGUCCCUACGAUGAUAUGCAAACUAUGGCUACUGCUCACAUGAUGUCGCUUGCAUGGCCAUACAAGAAACUGAAGGUCAUCAACAAGGCAUCAGCAACACCUAACACAUCACCUAACAUUUCAGGAAAUGGACAAUGUUAGUAUCAGAUCAUGUUACAACCAACCGUGGACAUGGUUCUUCGGUCUUGCAUUUCUUUUGGAGCUUUUGUUGCGUAUGUUGCGUACAACAACGUGAAGGAAUUGAGUUAUUGUAAUACCGUGGACUAGCUUUUGAGUUAUGUAAUGUGAUAUUGCAACCUAUGGACUAGUUCGAUGUAUUGCAAACAUUAUGUUACUAAUGAUGUUAAUAUAUGAUCGAUGGAUAUUGAAAGACC